GAUGAACGCUGGCGGCGUGCCUAAUACAUGCAAGUCGAGCGAAUGGAUUAAGAGCUUGCUCUUAUGAAGUUAGCGGCGGACGGGUGAGUAACACGUGGGUAACCUGCCCAUAAGACUGGGAUAACUCCGGGAAACCGGGGCUAAUACCGGAUAACAUUUUGAACUGCAUGGUUCGAAAUUGAAAGGCGGCUUCGGCUGUCACUUAUGGAUGGACCCGCGUCGCAUUAGCUAGUUGGUGAGGUAACGGCUCACCAAGGCAACGAUGCGUAGCCGACCUGAGAGGGUGAUCGGCCACACUGGGACUGAGACACGGCCCAGACUCCUACGGGAGGCAGCAGUAGGGAAUCUUCCGCAAUGGACGAAAGUCUGACGGAGCAACGCCGCGUGAGUGAUGAAGGCUUUCGGGUCGUAAACUCUGUUGUUAGGGAAGAACAAGUGCUAGUUGAAUAAGCUGGCACCUUGACGGUACCUAACCAGAAAGCCACGGCUAACUACGUGCC
RNAcentral lists this ribosomal RNA (500 nucleotides) under uncultured bacterium. RNAcentral describes it as "bacterial SSU rRNA". It matches the Rfam family "Bacterial small subunit ribosomal RNA", at positions 28 to 509 of the family's 1533-position model. The record is from RNAcentral.